CUCCCUGAGAAAGAGCACUCCUCCUCCGAUGACGACGAACUCCUGGCCUACAGCUGCUUCAAGAAGUGUGCAAUGGAGAAGAGACAGGCGAGGGGUUUGGUGCCCCGAACGUCAGAAGGAAUUAAACAAGAAAUGAUGGCGAUGUGGGAAAGGAUCGGCGAGGUUUAGGAGUAGAGGGGAAGCAAGCAAGGAGGCUAGAGAGGGAGAGACAAGCUGUCCCUGUAAACCACCGGAAAGGCAAGCAUCACCUACCUGAACCUACCCGGAGGUCUGCGUCAACCAACUCUCCCUCGGAGAAGAAGUCUCGGGUCACCUGCUCCGGAUGGAUGGCUUUGGAGUUUGGAUCAAUAUAUUCUGUCUUUAUCCACUAAUAUUAUCUGUCUGCAUUCACUAAUACGCCGGCCUGUUGGGUGUUCUUGGCUGCAAUUGGCAUCGCUAAACAAUCGGUCGAUAAUAAUAAUAAUAAUAAUAAUACGGCCGGAGUGUGCGUCAACGAUGAUGGAUGCAGAGGCCGGGGCGGGGCUGGUUGAUCGUCCUUUUUUUAGCUAGGCGCUUUGCUUCUCUGACUUGGGUUCGUUUUUUGGCGAUGUGUUUCGGCAGCAAUGCCUGUGGAGCCUGUGGAAGAAGGAACUGGGAAGGGAGGGGAAGCAUUG
Molecule: long non-coding RNA, 653 nt
Filed under: Triticum aestivum (bread wheat)
Lineage: Eukaryota; Viridiplantae; Streptophyta; Magnoliopsida; Poales; Poaceae
Description: long non-coding RNA (TAES_LNC007843)
Source: RNAcentral